UCGAAUUCAAAGAAAUACAUAAGAAAUCCAAUAGAUACAACUUUAUCUCUGGAACUAGUAAAGACAUAGUCUAAUGAUAGAGAAAGAUAGUAGAAGAUAUCCAGAUGCCUGAAGAUCAUCCACUACCUUGAAAGCUCCAACAAUCGCUAGAGUCAAGUAACAUGGGACACACUCGAACCUGAAUCUGCACCUGAAAGGUGCAAUAGGAGUGAGUACGGUCCACUUAUACUCAGUAGGUACCAUAGGCCGAUUGAGGAAAGUAGAAAAUAAAACAUAAAAAAUAAACACUAGGGAAAUGUCACUUGUAAUUAGAAAUUAUCCCACAAUGGUAGCCCAAACCCCUUGCACAAACAGUUCUAAUAUAUUAUAUAUAUUGCAACAAAUACAGAAAAGACCACAAGUGUACAAUAUGCCACAUACAAGUAGGAUAAGGAAGGACAAUAUACAUACAAGAUCAUUGAGUACAAGUACAAAGAGAGAACAAUUAUAUAGGUAAUAAGUCAAAGUAGAAUUAAAUCACAUCACAACCAUAACGAAGUAAACACAAUAAGAAUGAUAAUGAUUGUCACACCCUUUUUUCUCUUGAUGGCGGUUGAAGGGUGUUUCCAAUUUAAGUGAUGGUUUUGAAUAGGGAUUAUUUUAUUUAUAGAUUCGUCGCUUGAAAUUGAGUUAUGGUGUUCCAAGUCACCUUAUUGGAUCCUUAAUUAAAAGGAAAUGAUUCUUUAUUAGUUUGGGAAAAUAGAAGAUUGGGUAAUAAAUUUUAUUGAUCGAGAGGAAGGUAUGAGGCACCCCUUGAGUCCCAUGGUUCUAGCACGGUUACUUUAUUCAACUUAUGCUUUACUUAAAUUAUUUAGCAUAAAUUAUGUUUGCAGGCCUUUAUUCACUCAUUUUUAAUGUCUAAUAUCUGUCUAUAUCUCUUGUAUUAAGCUAGUGAAAAUUAAUUUUAGGACGAUCUUUGCCAAAGUGCACUAUUGCAUCCUCGAAUUAUUUUUAAAACGUCUUAGAAAGAUGCAUACGCCACAUUCUUAAUUGAGACCAAUAUAUUACGCGUGCCUAAAACUUUUCUAACAUCAAAGGUACUUGUUCGUCUCUUGUAACUCGAGACAAUCUUGUCCUAUACAUUUUUACUCUCUUCACCCUUUUAUCUUUUAAAUUUGCAACAAGUCUUGGAUUACUCCACAACUUGCCUCACUCUCUCACAAAUGAUUGUUCCUUCUCUUUUCUUUUCCAUUAUACGAUGGGGUUUAGAAUAAAUCCGCAUCCUAUCUCGCACCCUUACAUAUGUUAAUUAAUGUGAAGUUAUUAGAGACUUAAAUAUACAUAUAUUUUAUACCUAAAAUAUUUCUGACUUAACAAUAGAGAGAUCAAAUUAACAAUAUUAGAUUAUAUACUCAUAAUUUACCUGGUGACUUAAUGGAUUUAUUUUAAAGUAUUUCACAUGGACUCAAAACAAAGAAUCAAGUGAAUUCAAACAACUAAUUGACCAAAUAAUAUAAAUAAUACAAACCAAGGCAUGCUAACAUACAACAAAAAUUAAACAUCUAUAUUAUUAAAAAAUAUUUUGAUUUUUCUAUAUUAAUACCGAAACUGAAUAAUUACCAAAAUAAAUACAAAAACAACAACUAUGAAAGAGUACCCAAUCACUUUAAGUGAACAUAGAGUUUAAAAUAGUAGGUAACAAAAUUGGAAAAAAAAAGUUAUUAUUUUGUAUUUUUAUUUAUUCUUCAAAGUUUUUAUGAAACAAAAUUAUUUAAAUUCCAUUUUUUACUGUAAUUUAUGCAUACAACGUAAAGGUAAACAAAAAUAACGAUAAUUGACCUCCAUUGUUAAACCAAGUAACAAGGAUUUCUUAUUUAGAUGAUCCAUAUUAACCAAUGAUUAAAUCAAUAUAACCGAAAAAUAAAACAAAAUAUAUAAAUAAAUAAGUAAAUAGAUGAAACAUUCCAAGUCAAUAACCUAACCACGCAUAGUAACAACAAAUGGAAAUAAAAAUAACAUCAAAUUAGACAGGUAUCAUGUUACAGUUCAAGUAAUAUUCAUGAAAAUAAAUUAAGGCAGUAGAUGAACCUUUAGAGAAGAUUUCCAAUAUUGAAUUCCAAAAAUAAGUAUAACAUUUGAAAUAGAUCAAUAAAUAAAAUGAAAAUCUUUCAACGGGAGUUAAUACCGACAGUCUCAAAGAGACUCGACGGCAACCAACAAGACUCUUAC
RNAcentral lists this long non-coding RNA (2208 nucleotides) under Capsicum annuum. RNAcentral's name for it is "long non-coding RNA (CANN_LNC014253)". The record is from RNAcentral. Lineage: Eukaryota; Viridiplantae; Streptophyta; Magnoliopsida; Solanales; Solanaceae.